AGUGAACGCUGGCGGUAGGCCUAACACAUGCAAGUCGAACGGCAGCACAGUAAGAGCUUGCUCUUACGGGUGGCGAGUGGCGGACGGGUGAGGAAUACAUCGGAAUCUACUUUUUCGUGGGGGAUAACGUAGGGAAACUUACGCUAAUACCGCAUACGACCUACGGGUGAAAGCAGGGGAUCUUCGGACCUUGCGCGAUUGAAUGAUCCGAUGUCGGAUUAGCUAGUUGGCGGGGUAAAGGCCCACCAAGGCGACGAUCCGUAGCUGGUCUGAGAGGAUGAUCAGCCACACUGGAACGGAGACACGGUCCAGACUCCUACGGGAAGCAGCAGUGGGGAAUAUUGGACAAUGGGCGCAAGCCUGAUCCAGUCAUACCGCGUGGGUGAAGAAGGCCUUCGGGUUGUAAAGCCCUUUUGUUGGGAAAGAAAAGCAGCAGGUUAAUACCCCGCUGUUCUGACGGUACCCAAAGAAUAAGCGCCGGCUAACUUCGUG
RNAcentral lists this ribosomal RNA (492 nucleotides) under uncultured bacterium. Its description in RNAcentral is "partial 16S ribosomal RNA". It matches the Rfam family "Bacterial small subunit ribosomal RNA", at positions 29 to 507 of the family's 1533-position model. The record is from RNAcentral.